AUUGAACGCUGGCGGCAUGCCUUACACAUGCAAGUCGAACGGCAGCACGGGAGCAAUCCUGGUGGCGAGUGGCGAACGGGUGAGUAAUAUAUCGGAACGUGCCCGGUCGUGGGGAUAACGUAGCGAAAGCUACGCUAAUACCGCAUACGAUCUACGGAUGAAAGCGGGGGAUCGCAAGACCUCGCGCGAUUGGAGCGGCCGAUAUCAGAUUAGGUAGUUGGUGAGGUAAAGGCUCACCAAGCCGACGAUCUGUAGCUGGUCUGAGAGGACGACCAGCCAUACUGGGACUGAGACACGGCCCAGACUCCUACGGAGGCAGCAGUGGGGAAUUUGGACAAUGGGCGCAAGCCUGAUCCAGCAAUGCCGCGUGCAGGAUG
Molecule: ribosomal RNA, 377 nt
Filed under: uncultured bacterium
Lineage: Bacteria
Description: bacterial SSU rRNA
Rfam family: Bacterial small subunit ribosomal RNA
Source: RNAcentral